This 424-nucleotide ribosomal RNA is filed under the name uncultured prokaryote. RNAcentral's name for it is "bacterial SSU rRNA". It matches the Rfam family "Bacterial small subunit ribosomal RNA", at positions 355 to 796 of the family's 1533-position model. The record is from RNAcentral.
CAAGGAAUUUUCCCCAAUGGGCGCAAGCCUGAGGGAGCAACGCCGCGUGCAGGACGACGGCCUUCGGGUUGUAAACUGCUUUUGCGUGGGACGAUAACGACGGUACCACGCGAAUCAGCCCCGGCUAACUCUGUGCCAGCAGCCGCGGUAAUACAGAGGGUGCGAACGUUGCUCGGAUUUACUGGGCGUAAAGCGCGUGUAGGCGGACUCGCAAGUCGGUUGUGAAAUCCCUGGGCUCAACCUAGGAACUGCAUCCGAAACUGCUUGUCUUGAGUAAUGGAGAGGGUGGCGGAAUUCCCGGUGUAGAGGUGAAAUUCGUAGAUAUCGGGAGGAACACCAGUGGCGAAGGCGGCCACCUGGACAUUCACUGACGCUGAGACGCGAAAGCGUGGGGAGCAAACAGGAUUAGAUACCCCUGUAGUCC